CAAAGAAGAAGAAGAAAAAAA
Molecule: small RNA, 21 nt
Filed under: Arabidopsis thaliana (thale cress)
Lineage: Eukaryota; Viridiplantae; Streptophyta; Magnoliopsida; Brassicales; Brassicaceae
Description: ATSL144650
Source: RNAcentral